UCCUCGCGUCCUUCGGGCUCCGGCGGCUGCGGCGCGCUCAUUCCCGGAGAUGAAUGCGAGGCGACGUCGGAAACCAGUCCACCCAAAUGAGCUGUGAUAUCCGUUUGAUAGGAUGGUUAUCGUAUAUUUAUAAGGUGUGUUUUCUGCAAUCAGAACCAACAAGGUGUUGAGCGAUCAGUCAUCAACGAGCUUCUUCAAAAAGAAAGAGGGAAACGCGCCAGCCUUGUGUGGCAAGGGGGAAAAAUGCUCCCUACACUCUUCAGUUUCAUGUGUGCAAUCAAACCAGCAUGAGGAGACCAGAACGCUGCACAGAUCCACAAUGCUUCGGCAGCUCCCUA
This is a long non-coding RNA of Ochotona princeps (American pika), 338 nucleotides long. RefSeq lists it as uncharacterized. The transcript is spliced from 3 exons. Lineage: Eukaryota; Metazoa; Chordata; Mammalia; Lagomorpha; Ochotonidae. The record is from RefSeq and is a predicted model, not a curated record.